This 1149-nucleotide long non-coding RNA is filed under the name Homo sapiens (human). RNAcentral's name for it is "HSALNT0353825". Lineage: Eukaryota; Metazoa; Chordata; Mammalia; Primates; Hominidae. The record is from RNAcentral.
UGAUCAUGGCUCACUGCAGCCUCUAACUCCUGGGAUCCUCCCACCUCAGCCUCCCAGCUUAGAUUUUUGGAAUGUUUGAAGACAAACAUUGCCGUGGAGAUCACCUGGUAGCUUUCUGAGCAGGAGGCUGUGGACUGAGGGGAGCCAUCCACUCUGCCGAGAGCUUGAGAAAAUGAAGACUGAAAACAGAGCACUGGAGGUCGUUCAUACGCAAAAAUGCUUUCCCCUCGGAAUUGUCUCCAGCUCCUUCACCUCUUGGUUGUAGGUACAGACAGCAGAGACAAGAAGAGCCUUGAAGAGGCAGCCACACAUUGUGAUGAACAUCAAAUGGAUCCACGGCUCUGCGGAGGACCCAAGACAACUUGCUUGAAUUGUUAAGACCUUGUAAGAAUGUGAACGACUCCUCAUGGCCGAGUUGCAGGCACAGCAGGCUGGGGCCGGGUGGAAACCGAGGGCCAGCAGGGCCGGAACAGCGCAUCUCCGCGGACGGCUCCCCAUAGGCCCGGCCAGCGCGGAGCCAGGAGGGUGGCGUCCAGGGGCAGUGGACGCGCACGACAGGAGGAAGCCUGGGCUCUCCUCUCUGACCUCACGCCUGCCCUCCCCGCAGAUGGGAAUGUCCUUGUCCCGCAUGAGCGGCGGAGCCGGAGGGGACCCCGGCCUCUGACUCCUGCCCGCAGCCCCCUUUCAGCUGCCAGGGUUUCUCUGCCUUAGCUGCACAUGAGAACCCCCUGGGGCCUUUGAAAAACUACGAAUGCCCUGGCACCAACCCAACCCCGUUACAUCAGCAUCUCUGAGGGAGGGGCCUGAGUGCGAACGUACAUUGUGUAAAGUUCCCAGGUGACCUAGCGCGCAGCCAGCACUGCAGACUCCGGGGCCGCCCCAGCCGCCGCCCCGCCGCGGCCCCCCACCCCACGGGCUGCCCUCUGGUUCGGUGCCUCUGCCUGAUUCUGAAGGGCUGCAUCCUCCCUUCUCCUCACCACCUAUCGCGAGCGGUGACUGUCUCUGGAGGUGUCAUUUGGGGGGCUGUAGUGGGUUGAGUGGUGGCUCUCCAGAAGACACGUCCAUGUCCGGGAACCUAAUUUGUAAAGAGGGUUUUUGAGGAUUAAAUCAAGUAAAGGUUUUUGAGAGGAGAUCAUCCUGGAGUUAGGC